RNAcentral lists this non-coding RNA (28 nucleotides) under Homo sapiens (human). Lineage: Eukaryota; Metazoa; Chordata; Mammalia; Primates; Hominidae. The record is from RNAcentral.
UGUUGGAAGUGCUCCGUGUUACGUGUUA